Molecule: ribosomal RNA, 467 nt
Filed under: uncultured bacterium
Lineage: Bacteria
Description: partial 16S ribosomal RNA
Rfam family: Bacterial small subunit ribosomal RNA
Source: RNAcentral
GACGAACGCUGGCGGCGUGCUUAACACAUGCAAGUCGAACGGAAAGGCCCUGCUUUUGUGGGGUGCUCGAGUGGCGAACGGGUGAGUAACACGUGAGUAACCUGCCCUUGACUUUGGGAUAACUUCAGGAAACUGGGGCUAAUACCGGAUAGGAGCUCCUGCUGCAUGGUGGGGGUUGGAAAGUUUCGGCGGUUGGGGAUGGACUCGCGGCUUAUCAGCUUGUUGGUGGGGUAGUGGCUUACCAAGGCUUUGACGGGUAGCCGGCCUGAGAGGGUGACCGGCCAAGUGGGGAGAGUCAGCCGCCCUGGGCGCCGGCGGGGGGAAGGAGGGGGGAGGAGGGAAGGAGGGCCGGAGGCCUGAUGACCGACCGCGGCGGGGGGGAAGCGGGGGUGAGGGUAGUAAACCACGUCGCCCGGUGACAAAGCGGGAGUGACGGUAGUGGGAAAAGAAGCACCGUCUAACUACGU